UACGUAGGGGGCAAGCGUUGUCCGGAAUCAUUGGGCGUAAAGAGCGUGUAGGCGGCCCGAUAAGUCCGCUGUGAAAGUCCAGGGCUCAACCCUGGGAUGCCGGUGGAUACUGUCGGGCUCGAGUCCGGAAGAGGAGUGUGGAAUUCCUGGUGUAGCGGUGAAAUGCGCAGAUAUCAGGAAGAACACCUAUGGCGAAGGCAGCUCUCUGGGACGGUACUGACGCUGAGACGCGAAAGCGUGGGGAGCGAACAGG
RNAcentral lists this ribosomal RNA (253 nucleotides) under uncultured bacterium. Its description in RNAcentral is "partial 16S ribosomal RNA". It matches the Rfam family "Bacterial small subunit ribosomal RNA", at positions 524 to 776 of the family's 1533-position model. The record is from RNAcentral.